UAGGGAAUCUUCGGCAAUGGGCGAAAGCCUGAUGGAGCAACGCCGCGUGUGUGAUGAAGGGUUUCGGCUCGUAAAACACUGUUGUAAGAGAAGAAUGACAUUGAGAGUAACUGUUCAAUGUGUGACGGUAUCUUACCAGAAAGGAACGGCUAAAUACGUGCCAG
RNAcentral lists this ribosomal RNA (164 nucleotides) under uncultured bacterium. RNAcentral describes it as "partial 16S ribosomal RNA". It matches the Rfam family "Bacterial small subunit ribosomal RNA", at positions 355 to 511 of the family's 1533-position model. The record is from RNAcentral.